CUGUUCUGCGAAGCCGGCUCAACUAUUUCGGAUCCCAUCCUGAGAGAGCUGUUUCAAGCAGUCGGAUGCAUUUUGAGCGUGACUCCGGAGGGUCUGCAACUGGACCUUGUCUCAAGCCUGGUGUGCCCCCUGGUGGACAUCCUCAACUCGUCAUUGAACGAGUUCACCGCGCUGCUGCCUUUCCGAUUCCUUACGCGAGGAAUCACCAACGCUGUCAACUCGCUCACGAACAACCUGCUCGGGGCCGUCGGUAACUGUGACCGAUGACUUUCGAGGCCCGAGUGCGCGCGAAUUCAAACUAGCCUGCCAAAAAGAAGAGCGGAACGAGGGAAACACUGACGCCAUUUUCCGAGCCACAGUGGAGCAGCUGCCAGAGUCGUCCAGACGAUCUGAGCCAGGAGCCAACGCCCCGAGAACUGCCAGCAGCUACCAUGUCCUGCUCCGUACAUGACUUCCCGGAUACGCGUCAUGCCAAAAAACAAAAUCACGAAGGCACAUGAGGAUGCUCUAACGACUGUGAACACGCGGCAUCGUCUAUUCUGGACAAAGCUGUUUGCUCUGCGUCUCCCAGUCAUCCAAAGGCAGCGAGGAAGUCGCUUAAUGUCUGCCAGCCCUGGCUCAAGUAGCGAUUACAUCUGACUUUCUAUUCAUCAAAUCCUUGGCGAAUAAAAUUCAUUAUUGUUUUCA
Molecule: long non-coding RNA, 687 nt
Filed under: Dermacentor andersoni
Lineage: Eukaryota; Metazoa; Arthropoda; Arachnida; Ixodida; Ixodidae
Description: uncharacterized LOC126525702
Source: RNAcentral